This 256-nucleotide ribosomal RNA is filed under the name uncultured bacterium. RNAcentral describes it as "partial 16S ribosomal RNA". It matches the Rfam family "Bacterial small subunit ribosomal RNA", at positions 524 to 776 of the family's 1533-position model. The record is from RNAcentral.
UACGUAGGGACCGAGCGUUGUCCGGAAUCAUUGGGCGUAAAGAGCGAGUAGGAGCGGCCUGUUAAGUCUUGCGUGAAAUCUCGGGGCUCAACCCCGAGCGGUCGUGAGAAACUGGCAGGCUAGAGUGCGGGAGAGGGAGAGUGGAAUUCCUGGUGUAGCGGUGAAAUGCGCAGAUAUCAGGAAGAACACCCGUGGCGAAGGCGGCUCUCUGGAACGCAACUGACGCUGAGACGCGAAAGCGUGGGGAGCAAACAGG